This 98-nucleotide small RNA is filed under the name Xanthobacter versatilis. RNAcentral's name for it is "Xanthobacter autotrophicus Py2 rpsB sRNA". It matches the Rfam family "rpsB sRNA". Lineage: Bacteria; Pseudomonadati; Pseudomonadota; Alphaproteobacteria; Hyphomicrobiales; Xanthobacteraceae. The record is from Rfam by way of RNAcentral.
CGCACGCGGACAUCAGGCCAUCUGGCCAUCCGGUGCCCUCUCCCUAUUAGGGGGUGGGGGUACGUCCGCGGAGGCUCAACCGGAGAAUACUCAAAUGG